CAGGAACUUAUUUGGAUGUCUCUCUGCAUGGAGGUUGGAGUCCCCAAACUUCCAAUUCCUCUCUCCUCUCCUUUGCAUCUCUUGCAUACCCUUCUCUCGUCUUUCCUUUGUCUUAACUUUUAAAGGGCCAGACUCUCUGUACGUCAUCAGUUGAUAACCCAAUAGAAGCACUAGAGGUGUGGUUAUCUUCCAGAUCGCAAAUUAGUUAUUUGGUCUGUAGAGGGCAGUCUUGUCCCACUAAACAUACCUAUCCAGGAAAGAGUUAACUUUUCCUGGUGGCUAUUUUGACGUCAUUUUG
Molecule: non-coding RNA, 298 nt
Organism: Pelobates cultripes (western spadefoot toad)
Lineage: Eukaryota; Metazoa; Chordata; Amphibia; Anura; Pelobatidae
Source: the annotation of a GenBank genome assembly